This 442-nucleotide ribosomal RNA is filed under the name uncultured bacterium. RNAcentral's name for it is "partial 16S ribosomal RNA". It matches the Rfam family "Bacterial small subunit ribosomal RNA", at positions 338 to 795 of the family's 1533-position model. The record is from RNAcentral.
CCUACGGGAGGCAGCAGUGGGGAAUAUUGCACAAUGGGCGAAAGCCUGAUGCAGCAACGCCGCGUGAAGGAAGCAGGGUUUCGGCUCGUAAACUUCUAUUAACAGGGACGAAAGAAAUGACGGUACCUGAAUAAGAAGCCCCGGAUAACUACGUGCCAGCAGCCGCGGUAAUACGUAGGGGGCAAGCGUUAUCCGGAUUUAUUGGGUUUAAAGGGUGCGUAGGCGGGUUAUCAAGUCAGCGGUAAAAUCGUGGAGCUCAACUCCAUCCAGACGUUGAAACUGAUGAUCUUGAGUGGGCGAGAAGGAUGCGGAAUGCGUGGUGUAGCGGUGAAAUGCAUAGAUAUCACGCAGAACUCCGAUUGCGAAGGCAGCAUACCGGCGCCCGACUGACGCUGAAGCACGAAAGCGUGGGUAUCGAACAGGAUUAGAUACCCGAGUAGUC